CUUUUAGCAGGGAAGAAGCGAGAGUGACGGUACCUGCAGAAAAAGCACCGGCUAACUACGUGCCAGCAGCCGCGGUAAUACGUAGGGUGCAAGCGUUAUCCGGAAUUAUUGGGCGUAAAGAGCUCGUAGGCGGUCUGUCGCGUCUGCUGUGAAAUUCCGAGGCUCAACCUCGGGCUUGCAGUGGGUACGGGCAGACUAGAGUGCGGUAGGGGAGAUUGGAAUUCCUGGUGUAGCGGUGGAAUGCGCAGAUAUCAGGAGGAACAUCGAUGGCGAAGGCAGAUCUCUGGGCCGUAACUGACGCUGAGGAGCGAAAGGGUGGGGAGCAAACAGGCUUAGAUACCCUGGUAGUCCACCCCGUAAACGUUGGGAACUAGUUGUGGGGUCCUUUCCACGGAUUCCGUGACGCAGCUAACGCAUUAAGUUCCCCGCCUGGGGAGUACGGCCGCAAGGCUAAAACUCAAAGGAAUUGACGGGGACCCGCACAAGCGGCGGAGCAUGCGGAUUAAUUCGAUGCAACGCGAAGAACCUUACCAAGGCUUGACAUACACGAGAACGGGCCAGAAAUGGUCAACUCUUUGGACACUCGUGAACAGGUGGUGCAUGGUUGUCGUCAGCUCGUGUCGUGAGAUGUUGGGUUAAGUCCCGCAACGAGCGCAACCCUCGUUCUAUGUUGCCAGCACGUAAUGGUGGGAACUCAUGGGAUACUGCCGGGGUCAACUCGGAGGAAGGUGGGGAUGACG
Molecule: ribosomal RNA, 740 nt
Filed under: Microbacterium esteraromaticum
Lineage: Bacteria; Bacillati; Actinomycetota; Actinomycetes; Micrococcales; Microbacteriaceae
Description: bacterial SSU rRNA
Rfam family: Bacterial small subunit ribosomal RNA
Source: RNAcentral